RNAcentral lists this ribosomal RNA (521 nucleotides) under Blastococcus sp. 14III/A01/013. Its description in RNAcentral is "bacterial SSU rRNA". It matches the Rfam family "Bacterial small subunit ribosomal RNA", at positions 356 to 888 of the family's 1533-position model. The record is from RNAcentral. Lineage: Bacteria; Bacillati; Actinomycetota; Actinomycetes; Geodermatophilales; Geodermatophilaceae.
GGGGAAUAUUGCGCAAUGGGCGAAAGCCUGACGCAGCGACGCCGCGUGGGGGAUGACGGCCUUCGGGUUGUAAACCUCUUUCAGCAGGGACGAAGCGAAAGUGACGGUACCUGCAGAAGAGCACCGGCCAACUACGUGCCAGCAGCCGCGGUAAUACGUAGGGUGCAAGCGUUGUCCGGAAUUAUUGGGCGUAAAGAGCUCGUAGGCGGUUUGUUGCGUCGGCUGUGAAAACCUGAGGCUCAACCUCAGGCCUGCAGUCGAUACGAGCAGACUAGAGUGUUGCAGGGGAGACUGGAAUUCCUGGUGUAGCGGUGAAAUGCGCAGAUAUCAGGAGGAACACCGGUGGCGAAGGCGGGUCUCUGGGCAACAACUGACGCUGAGGAGCGAAAGCGUGGGGAGCGAACAGGAUUAGAUACCCUGGUAGUCCACGCCGUAAACGUUGGGCGCUAGGUGUGGGGCUCAUUCCACGAGUUCCGUGCCGCAGCUAACGCAUUAAGCGCCCCGCCUGGGGAGUACGGCCG